Molecule: transfer RNA, 55 nt
Filed under: Trichuris sp. ETH392
Lineage: Eukaryota; Metazoa; Nematoda; Enoplea; Trichinellida; Trichuridae
Also listed under: 1 other name
Description: tRNA-Ala
Source: RNAcentral
GGGUUUAUAAUGUAUUAGUGCAUGUCUUUUUUGCAAAAAGAAAGUCUUAUAUCCA